GAAAAUGGAAUAUAAAAAUAGAGCAUAUAAAGUUAGAACAAGAGCUGAAGCAAAUAACACUGAGCAAAAGCAAUAUCAUCCUCUUACACAACCCCUUGACUUGCACUGUAUGGGGUAUCAUAAUCUGAACAAUGACUACUCGCCUGGCUUGAUGUUUCUGAAAAAAACUUAAAAGGACAAAUUGAUAAAACCAUCACACCUCAACUCUACAAACAUAGGAAAAAUGGCACAAUUGUCCUUCAAUCCAAAGGACGCAGUCUCAUACAAGUUACCAAUAUAAACCUGUUAUCAAAAUAUAUAUUCAUUAACAUCUCAUAGGAAUAAUAGGAUAGUUACAUGACUAGAGUUCUAAAAUCCACCAACAUAAUAUAUAUAUCUCCAGGGACUGACAAACUAAACCCAAAAAGUAUCAUCACAAGUUAUACGUACAAUUAUCUCAAGUUAUACCCAAAACCCAAAUUCCUAAGAUUCCUCCAGUGAUGUAGCUUUCCUCCUAUUUUUCGGCAGUUGAAAAAGAAUUGCAAUGAAUGGUAUGAGCAAAGCACCUCUCAAUAAAUAGUACAUUUCUCAACAGAUAGAGCAUAAACUAUUCACAGUAUAAACAGCAACAGAAACACAACCAAAUCCAGUAUAUAAUAUACGUAAAAGUCUAAAUAUGAGUUACAUCACUCUAACAAUGUUUUCAACGUAUUAGAAAAAUGCUCAUUCGAUCAACAAUAUUUAAGUAAACAUCUGAGGUCUAGUCUAUUGAUCACUCUAGUACUUCAUAUUAAACUAUAGCCAUGUCUAACGCCCCAUGACAAGGCUUACCAAGGUAUCCUUCUAGGCAUAGGUCUCCACUAAUCUCAGCUGGUGGCUUUGGCUAUACAAGACAUCCUGAGAACAUGUUUGCUUACUCACAUCCCUUUAAUGAUUUCAGAUCAUAGUGAUAAGAGGAUAAAAUAAUCAAUAUAAUCCUAUCUGCAACAAACCCAUUUCAGAACUCGUUUGAUAAACCGGAGUAAAAAAUCGAUACAACCCUUCACAAUUCCAUCCACAAGAAGAAUACAUACAUGAAGAAUUUCUCAAACAAUUUCAUAAAUAAUAAACUGUCCAACCAUCUCAGGAGAUAUUUUACUAUGCUAUUUCAAAUAACCAAAUGGGUAUGAAAUGCAAGAUCUAGCUUUAUACAACAAAAAUGUUCUAAACACCAUUUAAAAAAAAAAAAAAAUCAUAGCGUGCAAUGUUCUCGUUCAUAACUUAUGGCAUAUGUAAUAUCUAUGAUUUUCAAGCCGUGAGUUUACAAAUCAUAGAAGAAAUAAGUACCACUCCUCGCUAACCAAAAGCUAAAUUAAAAGCUUUACCACCUGAAAAGCUAAAAAAUCCUAUCAAAGAAAGCAUUAACCAAAUGUGAAACUUACAUAUCACUAACCUCAACUAAGAUUCUACAAGGUGACACUAAUUUUUGGAGUCAAAACAUCCAAUAUGAGUCGACAAAAACGCCACACAAGCAUCAAACUUGCUACAGCAAACAGAGCAGCAAUCUCGUCGUACGUUGUGAAUUUUGGCAUGUCAUACAUCUCUACUAGACUCCAUUUUAAGUGAUUUUACCGUCAAACGAGAGCUAAUUCAAAGUACUAAAAGACCAAAAACUCCUUAGAGCCAAAAUUUGGCCGACGACUGAUGAAAUCCAGGACAAAACCCUGCUGGUUGCAGUUACUGUACAUUAGUUUUUGAGAACUUCGAAGAAUCAAUAUCUUUCAAACGGCAAUCCGUAAAAUCUCACAAUUCCAAGACCAACCUAACGUUUCGAAACGACAUCAUUUCAAGGCUCAACAAUCUCAAGAAUCAACCCGGCAACCCUAAAACCUGAACCAAUCCGAAAUUACAACUUAACAGAGCAAAUUUCUUUGAUUUCAUUAGAUUUAUCAAGGUUUGGAAUUUCUUACCGAGUGCUUCAAAACGGUAUGAAUCUAGCUCGUCGUGGCCUCCGAGCCGAAUCGCAGCAAAAGCCCCCUUUCGCUCACUCUCAGAUUCCCCUUUUCUCUGUUUUCUCUUUCUUUUACCGACUCGCUCCACUCUCUCUUUUUUCUGCUCUUUAUUUUUUGUAUGAACCAACUCCAGAAGAGAACGAGAAGAUG
This 2120-nucleotide long non-coding RNA is filed under the name Eucalyptus grandis. RNAcentral's name for it is "long non-coding RNA (EGRA_LNC002048)". Lineage: Eukaryota; Viridiplantae; Streptophyta; Magnoliopsida; Myrtales; Myrtaceae. The record is from RNAcentral.